Molecule: non-coding RNA, 78 nt
Organism: Schistosoma mansoni
Lineage: Eukaryota; Metazoa; Platyhelminthes; Trematoda; Strigeidida; Schistosomatidae
Source: Rfam
AGCUUUCUGAAUUCGUGCAGCGAUUUCGUUAAACACCAACCCAUUAGGGCUGAACAGACGUCCAAGAUAAGUGAAGUU